Molecule: long non-coding RNA, 1117 nt
Organism: Myotis myotis
Lineage: Eukaryota; Metazoa; Chordata; Mammalia; Chiroptera; Vespertilionidae
Exons: 3
Source: RefSeq, a predicted model, not a curated record
UUGCAAGUCCUCUUCAUCUUGACACUUUCACUUCCUUUGCUACAAGGUGAAGUGGCCAUCGGGCCCGUGCAGGAGACUCUCUCCACGGCGUUUCCUGACACUUGAGCCUCCAAGGGCCCUCGUUAGGUGCUUGUCUUCAAGAUGAUCGGCCUGCUCUCCCCUGCGCUGUUGAGGUGGGGCCAUGAGGCUUAGAGAGGUUAAGCAACUUGCCUGAAGCCACGAUGCUUGUGAGUGACAGAGUAGAGCUCCAGUGCCCCUUCGACACUAUCCUUCAGCGCCUGGAGAGAGCCCUUCACAAGCACGUGUAUGGGUGGUGGAGGAUGAAGUCACAGCACACAGCUCCAAGAGAAGCUUUGAGUCAUGUUACAUCCAUUUAACACACGGAGGAAACCCACAGGCCUGGAGCAGUCAGCUGGCCCGAGGAAUAAGCCAGUCUCCUUGGGGCUGGACAACCUUCAAAGCUCAGUGUGUGCAGCCUAGUCACCUUGCUUGAACCAGGCUGCCUCACCAGAACUUGAAAAUGUCUAUCUGCACUUCAGUCAACAUUGUCUUGGGGGAGCAGGGGAGGCGGGGAUAGGACGAGGGAAGGGGUGGCCUGCUGCCACUGUUUCUCUCCCGAAGAUGGGAUCACUCAGUAGAUGCAAAGUUGCCCUUCAGCGGGGCUUUCUUCUUCCAUGUGUGGAGCUCUAGGAAUCUGCCCCCAGGAACCUGGAUGGAGCACAUGCAGCUCCUACAUGCCCACAAAGUUCCAGAUCCCCAGGGAAAUUGCCGUAGCUCUGGGCAUCGGCAGCAUCAUACGUCCCAGCCUUUUCCUCCAGAUCCUCCUUGCAGAAGCCAAGGAGGACAGAGAGUGUUGGGGGCUGAGCAGAACGGUGUCAAAAGAAAAUGUGGGCCUGAAUCUGCCAGCACCAGCAAAGUUGGCUGCCUUACCAUCACUCUAUUUUCUGACGAUCAAAGCAAUAAAUGCUCAUGGUGGAGAAGCUUGAAAAUGCUGGAAAGUAUAAAGAAACAAUAAAAACUACCCCUAAUCCCAUCCCGCAGAGAUAGACCUUCUCCUAAAAUUGUGAUGUGUUUCCUAAGGAUCUCUGUCCAUAAAGAUAAUUGCCUUCAUACUUCA